AUGUGGCGUCGGCGCCGCGCCCUGCGUCGCCAGCAGGAGGGUGCCCCCCUUGGCGGUCGGGGCUCGCCCACUUUGUCGGAGCGACGGCUCAUCCCUCCCGAUCUCUAUGGGCUCUGCUUUCGCUGCUUCUUGGAGGGCCACCGGCGGCAGGACUGCACCAACGACCCGAUGUGCAUCAGGUGCGGGCUUUCGGGGCAGGUUUCCGCCCAGUGCAAGCGGCCUCGCAGCCCCAUCUCCGAGGACGAACUGCGGCGUGCGAUGAUUGCAAAGGUGUCCAAUUCCAUGCCGGGGCAGGCGGCUGGGACGGCGGGUGUGGGGGGAUCGUUGUUGGAGCCUGGACAGAGCGCGGCCAGGGCGCCGCCGCUGUCAGUUGCGCCCAGCUUUCCUCCCAUGGUCUCCGUGCCCUCCCCCAAUCCCAUGGUGCCAGCGCCGCCGUUCCAUCGGGGCCUGCCGGAUGUAUGUGUGGUGUCGCGCGCGGAGGACAUGAACGACUUGGAGCGUCGUCUUCAGCUUGCGGUGGUGAUGUAUGUGGGAGGCGCCAGACCAUCGGUGUCGUGCGAGGAGGCGACGGUCAUGAUUGCGGCUGAGCUGCGCUUGCCGCGGCACCAGUUCUCAGUGCACAGGUACCAUCCGGAGGAUUUCUUGGUAGUGUUCUCGUCCCAUGAUGCUCAGAACAGGGCGCUCAGUUCGCCGAUCAUUCGCCACCUCGGCAUCCAGCUUCACUCUAAGCCAUGGCUGCGGCAAGCCCAGGCGACCACGAGGCUGAUGCGAUGUCAGGUGGAUGUUUUGAUCGAGGGGAUUCCGGCGCAUGCUUGGUCCCGAUGCGUGGCGGCAGAGCUGCUGGGGAAGGCUUGUCUGAUUGAGAGUCUGGCCCCGGAGAUGGAGAGUCGCGAAGAUCUAUCGCUGUUCAAACUGCGGGCAUGGUGUGUGGAUCCAGACGAUGUGCCGGUGAGUCGCCGGCUCUGGAUUCCGGAGCCACCGGAGCCGGCGCCCAACGCUGCGGAUCGACGGCCGUUCUUUCGCCAGCUCAUGGAGUAUCCCACGCUCAUCCGCAUAGGCCGGAUGUGUGAUUUUUGGGAGCCUCAGCUUUGGCGCAGAUCGGGCAGUUCAAGUGGUGACAGCGGCCAGAGUGGGUUGCCGGACAACUCCCCGGAGUCCUUCGCGGGAGGAGAUUGGAUGGUUUGA
This 1185-nucleotide ribosomal RNA is filed under the name Triticum aestivum (bread wheat). Its description in RNAcentral is "partial small subunit ribosomal RNA". Lineage: Eukaryota; Viridiplantae; Streptophyta; Magnoliopsida; Poales; Poaceae. The record is from RNAcentral.